Molecule: ribosomal RNA, 478 nt
Filed under: uncultured bacterium
Lineage: Bacteria
Description: bacterial SSU rRNA
Rfam family: Bacterial small subunit ribosomal RNA
Source: RNAcentral
ACUCCUACGGGAGGCAGCAGUAGGGAAUAUUGCACAAUGGGGGAAAGCCCUCGAUGCAGCAAUGCCACGUGAGCGAGGAAGGUCUUCGGAUUGUAAAGCUCUGUCCUAUAGGAAGAAUGGUAUUAUGGUUAAUGACCAUCAGUAUUUGACGGUACUAUAGAAGAAAGCACCGGCUAACUCCGUGCCAGCAGCCGCGGUAAUACGGAGGGUGCAAGCGUUGUUCGGAUUUACUGGGCGUAAAGCGCGCGCAGGCGGAUAAGCAAGUCAGAUGUGAAAUCUCGGGGCUCAACCCCGAAAACUGCGUCUGAAACUGUUUAUCUAGAGUCUCACAGGGGGUAGGGGAAUUUCACGUGUAGGGUAAAAUCCGUAGAGAUGUGAAGGAACACCGGUGGCGAAGGCGCCUACCUGGAUGAGUACUGACGCUGAGGCGCGAAAGCGUGGGGAGCAAACAGGAUUAGAUACCCUGGUAGGAUAGCGU